RNAcentral lists this ribosomal RNA (468 nucleotides) under uncultured bacterium. RNAcentral describes it as "partial 16S ribosomal RNA". It matches the Rfam family "Bacterial small subunit ribosomal RNA", at positions 28 to 507 of the family's 1533-position model. The record is from RNAcentral.
GACGAACGCUGGCGGCGUGCUUAACACAUGCAAGUCGAACGGAAAGGCCCUGCCUUUGUGGGGUGCUCGAGUGGCGAACGGGUGAGUAACACGUGAGUAACCUGCCCCUGACUUUGGGAUAACCUCAGGAAACUGGGUCUAAUACCGGAUAGGAGCUCCUGCUGCAUGGUGGGGGUUUGAAAGUUUCGGCGGUUGGGGAUGGACUCGCGGCUUAUCAGCUUGUUGGUGAGGUAGUGGCUUACCAAGGCUUUGACGGGUAGCCGGCCUGAGAGGGUGACCGGCCACACUGGGACUGAGAUACGGCCCAGACUCCUACGGGAGGCAGCAGUGGGGAAUAUUGCACAAUGGGCGGAAGCCUGAUGCAGCAACGCCGCGUGCGGGAUGACGGCCUUCGGGUUGUAAACCGCUUUCGCCUGUGACGAAGCGUGAGUGACGGUAAUGGGUAAAGAAGCACCGGCUAACUACGUG